CACUUAUUUUUAGAGAAAAAUAAUGAAAAAGUGUAAUACGUCUUAAUGAUUGAUUUUCAAACAUCCCUAUUUUAGAAAAUGAAAUAUCCCACCGAUGUCUGCUACUCUCUUUUCAAGCUUUCUUUGUACAUUAAAGCGUUUGCGUCAAAGAUUAGGGCAUGCAGCUAAAUGCAGUUAAAAUCCAUUCACGCUCUGAGGAGACUAAGCAAUGUAAAGCCCGAUCGGGCCCGGUGAUUUCCGAGGCGCAGCCGAGGCAGCACAUCGAAUACGCGGAUAUGUUGCAGCAUUUUUGCAGCUUUCGAGGCGGAAUUUCUCUUCAAGAAUCUUUUCCCAGUUCAGCAUUUAUCGAACUUUCAAAAUGGUAUCGUGGAGGAUAAGUAUAGAAGCUUGCUCCUACUCGGCCCAUCACAGCCAUGUGAAUGCGGCCAAUUCUCACGCUGUGGGAGCGUCAUCUGCAUUCACUUGAAGGGACAAAGCUGCAUCAGAGCACGCCUGAAGCUUUGAGGAAGACACUGGCGGCUGGCACAGACGACUUCUGGCCGUCCACCCAGCAUGGCCAUGGCUGAAGGCGGGGCCUGUGGGACGCGUUAGAUCAGUGGAAGAAGUCGCAUCACUUACACCGUGACUACUGCUGUGUGCAUAGUGUGGAGCUGCCAGCAGAAUUGACCAGUCACCAGGAGCAGCAGAACCAAGCUGGGCUUCCAUGUCCGUAAGGUCCAGAUUGUCUUGAUUGCUGUGGCUUCUUUCACAUUGAGGCAGCAGGCGAAAGCCUGCCUUUGGUAGACGUCAGUGGUUUAUCAUGGUAUACUGGCCUUCCAUCCUUUAACUGAAGGAACAUAAUUGUCAGUUUGAACCUUUCAUUACUGGGUCCAAUGAAUGUUGUUCAAGGGUGAUGUGAACUGUGAGAAUUUUAAAAAGUACCACAAGCAAGUACAUGUCCAUGCUACAAAUGAAUGUACUAACACAAAUGUAUUUAACAUGUAUAGCUGUGAUCUGAGAAAAAAAUCCGAAAUUGAGGCCACUUUAUUGAGGAGUGCCGUAACAUUUCUAGUGAUGGAAAUAAAAAGUGGAAAUCCUCAGCUGUUGUUACAAUUUA
Long non-coding RNA from Acanthaster planci (crown-of-thorns starfish), 1096 nucleotides. RefSeq lists it as uncharacterized. The record is from RefSeq and is a predicted model, not a curated record. NCBI's taxonomy places the organism in Eukaryota, Metazoa, Echinodermata, Asteroidea, Valvatida, Acanthasteridae.